RNAcentral lists this ribosomal RNA (406 nucleotides) under uncultured bacterium. RNAcentral's name for it is "partial 16S ribosomal RNA". It matches the Rfam family "Bacterial small subunit ribosomal RNA", at positions 30 to 526 of the family's 1533-position model. The record is from RNAcentral.
AUUGAACGCUGGCGGCAGGCCUAACACAUGCAAGUCGAACGAGUGGCGGACGGGUGAGUAAUGUCUGGGAAACUUCCUGAUGGAGGGGGAUAACUACGGGAAACUGUAGCUAAUACCGCAUACCAUCGGAUGUGCCCAGGUGGGAUUAGCUAGUAGGUGGGGUAACGGCUCACCUAGGCGACUAUCCCUAGCUGGUCUGAAAGGAUGACCAGCCACACUGGAACGGAGACACGGGCCAGACUCCUACGGGAGGCAGCAGUGGGGAAUAUUGCGCAAUGGGGGCAAGCCUGAUGCAGCCAUGCCGCGUGGAUGAAGAAGGCCUUCGGGUUGUAAAGUACUUUCAGCGGGGAGGCGUUACCCGCAGAAGAAGCACCGGCUAACUCCGUGCCAGCAGCCGCGGUAAUAC